Molecule: long non-coding RNA, 204 nt
Organism: Sphaeramia orbicularis (orbiculate cardinalfish)
Lineage: Eukaryota; Metazoa; Chordata; Actinopteri; Kurtiformes; Apogonidae
Exons: 2
Source: RefSeq, a predicted model, not a curated record
AUUUAAAGACAUUAAUUGACAUUCGUUUGACCUUUCAAGGUCACUCAAGGUCAAAGGUCAUGGCAGCAAAUGAAAGCCAAUAUGUGACUUCCUAUCUAUUGCCAACAGUAAUAAUAUCAAUAUUUUCAACUGUUUUAAAGUUAUAGCCCUUUGAAAUGUGUCCCAUUAUAAACAAAUGGGGAUUUUUGAAAUGUCAAAAAUUCA